AUAGACCCGCCUUCUUAAAAUGGUGGUUUCUCAUUGGUGUAACGCCAGUGCCGUCACUAAAAUGGAAACAAACGAUUGGCUUCUAUUCGAAACCAAUCAACCAUUUUCUUACACGUCAUUAGAUUGCGACUCAAUCACAUUGAGGACAACACGCUUGACGGUACCGAAUUUAAAAUAUUUUCGUAGCAAUUUUCCUCAAUGUUUCAACAGAAUACAAUCCGGGUUUCGAAUCGUAUAUUUUGGCAUACAAGUUAUACUUUCUCGAGAUCAUGGACUCAGUUAUCAAGGACAAGACCGCUUGCAUCAGGGACCAGUCAAUGGUCCUCUUCACAGUCAAGACACAGCAGUGGGCCGAUUUUGCCAGUUGCUUUCAGGCAGUAUCGAAGAGACGUACCUCUACAUAACCAAUUCUCUACCACAACACACGUCUGCAUCGAUUCUAUUGGGAAGAUUCAUUCAACGCAUUACCACUUGGUUUACACAUGCAAGGUGUGCUCAACCAGGUCAACGAAGAGGAUAUCCAAGGUAGCCUAUCAUAAAGGUGUUGUCCUAGUGACCUGCCCAGGAUGUGAAAAACACCACAUUAUUGCUGACAACUUGGGUUGGUUCUCUGAUCUGAAGGGAAAGAGCCCUGCCACAAAAGGACCAGUUGACAUGUCAGUGAUUCUCUCGUUAACACGGGUGGGAGUGUUGAAGAGGACAAAGCUGGCGAUCACUCUGUCGUGCUGAUUGAGUUCGAAUAACAGACUGGAAGCUUCAAAAGGAGGGUGGUGCUUGGAAUCAUUGUUCUUCCUUUGUUGACCAUGGUUACCUGCAAGGAAACACGUGCUGUCAUCAUUGCUUUGCACAAAAAGGGCUUCACAGGCAAGGAUAUUGCUGCCAGUAAGAUCAACCAUUUAUCGGAUCAUCAAGAACUUCAAGGAGAGCAGUUCAAUUGUUGUGAAGAAGGCUUCAGGGCCCCCAGAGAAAGUCCAGCAAGCCUCUGGACCGUCUCCUAAAGUUGAUUCAGCUGUGGGAUCGGGGCACCACCAGUACAGAGCUUGCUCAGGAAUGGCAGCAGGCAGGUGUGCGUGCAUCUUCACGCACAGUGAAGCAAGGACUUUUGGAGGAUGGUCUGGUGUCAAGGAGGGCAGCAAAGAAGCCACUUCUCUCCAGGAAAAACAUCAGGGACAGACUAAUAUUCUUAAAAAGGUACAGGAAGUGGACUGCUGAGAACUGGGGUAAAGUCAUUUUCUCUGAUCAAUCCCCUUUCCGAUUGUUUGGGGAAUACGGAAAAAAGCUUGUCCGGAGAAGACAAGGUGAGCGCUACCAUCAGUCCUGUGUCAUGCCAACACUAAAGCAUCCUGAGGCCAUUAAUGUGUGGGGUUGCUUCUCAGCCAAGGGAGUGGGCUCACUCACAAUUUUGCCUAAGAGCACAGCCAUGAAUAAAGAAUGGUACCAACACAUCCUCCGAGAGCAACUUCUCCCAACCAUCUAGGAACAGUUUGCUGACGACCAAUGCCUUUUCCAGCAUGAUGGAGCACCUUGCCAUAAGGCAAAAGUGAUAACUAAGUGGCUCGGGGAACAAAACAUCGAUAUUUUGGGUCCAUGGCCAGGAAACUCCCCAGACUUUAAUCCCAUUUAGAACUUGUGGUCAAUCCUCAAGAGGCGGAUGGACAAACAAAAAAACACAAAUUCUGACAAACUCUGAGCAUUGAUUAUGCAAGAAUGGGCUGCCAUCAGUCAGGAUGUGGCCCAGAAGUUAAUUGACAGCAUGCCAGGGCGGAUUGCAGAGGUCUUGAAAAAUAAGGGUUAACACUGCAAAUAUUGACUCAUUGCAUCAACUUCAUGUAAUUGUCAAUAAAAGUAUUUGACACUUA
RNA transcript from Oncorhynchus kisutch (coho salmon), 1859 nucleotides. RefSeq lists it as uncharacterized. The record is from RefSeq and is a predicted model, not a curated record. The transcript is spliced from 3 exons. Lineage: Eukaryota; Metazoa; Chordata; Actinopteri; Salmoniformes; Salmonidae.